RNAcentral lists this small nucleolar RNA (86 nucleotides) under Olea europaea subsp. europaea. Its description in RNAcentral is "Small nucleolar RNA U31b". It matches the Rfam family "Small nucleolar RNA U31b". Lineage: Eukaryota; Viridiplantae; Streptophyta; Magnoliopsida; Lamiales; Oleaceae. The record is from Rfam by way of RNAcentral.
GAAGAUGAUGAUAGCGUUGUCGUUCCUGGUUUGAUUUUCAUCUAUCUGUAGAUGCAAUGUGGUGAUUGACAUCUUAUUUCUGAUUC